This 675-nucleotide ribosomal RNA is filed under the name Triticum aestivum (bread wheat). RNAcentral's name for it is "partial small subunit ribosomal RNA". The record is from RNAcentral. Lineage: Eukaryota; Viridiplantae; Streptophyta; Magnoliopsida; Poales; Poaceae.
AUGACCACCGCCGAGCCUCCCAUUCCGCCGUCGCCGACCAGCCCUCGCGACAGGGUGCGGCGACGGCAGUGCGCGCUCGCGCUGGCUGCCGCGGCCGCCGCCUGCCUGGCGCCGGUGGCCGUGCUCCUGGCGGUGCUCGUCCUCGCGCCCUCGCUCCUCCCACGGCUGCUCCUCCGGCCUCACCACGUCGUCCCCUACGUUUCCUCCGCCGAGCUCCGCCUCCUCGCCUUUGACCCCGCCGCAUCCGCCGUCUCCUACAACCUCUCCGCCACGCUCAGGUUCGACAGCCCGUGCCUCUACUGCACAUGGCGGUACACGGAGCUCAAAGCCACGCCGUCCUACGCCGGGCAGCAGCUGGGCGCCGGCGCGGAGCUGCCGGAGCUCACGCAGCGGAGGGGCAGCGACGCGCGCGACAUUGCGUGGGCGGGGGCGCAGAAAGUGCCGCCCGGCCGGCGCGCCCGCGCAGUUGCCGCGGCGCUCGCGCGGGAGGAGGCCGAGGGGCGGCUCAGCGUCAAGGUGGCGGUGAGCACCGUGCAGAACGGCGCGCGGAGCGACUUCGCGUGCGUGCUGAGCUUCCCUGCUGUGUCUGCGCCGCGGCGCGGAGGGACCGGGAGCCCCGCCGCCGCGGUGUUCGACGGCGGCAGGUGCGUCGACGCUGUGCCUGGCGAGAUCUAG